Molecule: long non-coding RNA, 655 nt
Organism: Quercus lobata
Lineage: Eukaryota; Viridiplantae; Streptophyta; Magnoliopsida; Fagales; Fagaceae
Exons: 2
Source: RefSeq, a predicted model, not a curated record
AAAACUCAUACAUCAUCCUCAGUAUUUUCUCCCACAAUUUUAACAUUGUAUUGUGCCCUCGCCACAACUGGCGACCCAUUCUUCCUCGCCAGAGGCUCAAAAAUGAAAAUAGUAUUUAUUUUUCUUAGCACCUCUAUCUCUUCGCUUUGUAAAUUUUGGCGCUCUCGAGUUCACGCCAUUUUUAGAAAAGAAUAAGUGGUCGAUUUGACCAGUGUAGGGAAGGAGUAUUUUGCACGGCAUAGAUUGAAGCCCACCGAUUCAGGAAUGGAUUCGCAAAUGUGUGGGGAUUAUAACUUCACACAACUCUUAGAAGAGGGGUCUAUCAUGAAUAAUGAAUUUGUGAUGGACUCUCCUCAAGAUUAAGUGCAUAACCAACAAUCUCCAGCUGAAAUUCAAAUGGGAUCCAUUAAUAAGAAAACACAACGGGGUGGUAAUUCAUUCUAUAAGAAGGCUGCCUCAUUGUGUCAGCAUGGCUCAUUUCCUCAUUAGAUGCAGUAAGGGAAUGAACAAAAACACGGAACAUAAUGGAAUAGAGUUUGGGAGUACUUCAAUAAAAAGAAGAAAUUUACAUCAACACGUAAUGCAAACUCUCUAAUGAAUCGUUGGUCAAAAAUUCAACUCCAAACUAAUAAGUUUGUUGGUAUCUUAGCUUCAA